RNAcentral lists this ribosomal RNA (768 nucleotides) under uncultured bacterium. Its description in RNAcentral is "bacterial SSU rRNA". It matches the Rfam family "Bacterial small subunit ribosomal RNA", at positions 51 to 828 of the family's 1533-position model. The record is from RNAcentral.
ACACAUGCAAGUCGAGCGGAGACAGUGAGUAGCUUGCUAUGAGCUGUUUUAGCGGCGGACGGGUGAGUAACGCGUGAGCAACCUUUCCCAGACAGGGGAAUAACACACCGAAAGGUGUACUAAUACCGCAUAAGACCACGGGAUCACAUGGUUCUGGGGUAAAAGAUUUAUCGGUUUGGGGUGGGCUCGCGUCCGAUUAGGUAGUUGGUGAGGUAACGGCCCACCAAGCCGACGAUCGGUAGCCGACCUGAGAGGGUGAUCAGCCACAUUGGGACUGAGACACGGCCCAAACUCCUACGGGAGGCAGCAGUGGGGAAUAUUGGGCAAUGGGGGGAACCCUGACCCAGCAACGCCGCGUGGAGGAAGAAGGUUUUCGGAUCGUAAACUCCUGUCCUUGGAGACGAGUAGAAGACGGUAUCCAAGGAGGAAGCCCCGGCUAACUACGUGCCAGCAGCCGCGGUAAUACGUAGGGGGCAAGCGUUGUCCGGAAUAAUUGGGCGUAAAGGGCGCGUAGGCGGCUCGGUAAGUCUGGAGUGAAAGUCCUGCUUUUAAGGUGGGAAUUGCUUUGGAUACUGUCGGGCUUGAGUGCAGGAGAGGUUAGUGGAAUUCCCAGUGUGGCGGUGAAAUGCGUAGAGAUUGGGAGGAACACCAGUGGCGAAGGCGACUAACUGGACUGUAACUGACGCUGAGGCGCGAAAGUGUGGGGAGCAAACAGGAUUAGAUACCCUGGUAGUCCACACUGUAAACGAUGAAUGCUAGGUGUAGGGG